RNAcentral lists this transfer RNA (75 nucleotides) under Sphaerodactylus townsendi. RNAcentral describes it as "tRNA-Ala". Lineage: Eukaryota; Metazoa; Chordata; Lepidosauria; Squamata; Sphaerodactylidae. The record is from RNAcentral.
GGAGUGGUUGUGGCUCAGUGGUAGAGCAUCUUCUUGGCAUGCAGAAGGUCCCCAGUUCAAUCCACAGGAUCUCCA